UUGUGACCACCAGCAGAGUGACUGUGC
Molecule: non-coding RNA, 27 nt
Filed under: Mus musculus (house mouse)
Lineage: Eukaryota; Metazoa; Chordata; Mammalia; Rodentia; Muridae
Source: RNAcentral